This 637-nucleotide ribosomal RNA is filed under the name uncultured Bacillus sp. RNAcentral's name for it is "bacterial SSU rRNA". It matches the Rfam family "Bacterial small subunit ribosomal RNA", at positions 232 to 885 of the family's 1533-position model. The record is from RNAcentral. Lineage: Bacteria; Bacillati; Bacillota; Bacilli; Caryophanales; Bacillaceae.
CGCGGCCUAUCAGCUUGUUGGUGCGGUGAGGGCGUACCAAGGCGAUGACGGGUAGCCGGCCUGAGAGGGUGAUCGGCCACACUGGGACUGAGACACGGCCCAGACCCCUACGGGAGGCAGCAGUGGGGAAUUUUGCGCAAUGGGCGGAAGCCUGACGCAGCGACGCCGUGUGGGGGAGGACGGCCUUCGGGUUGUAAACCUCUUUCGGCCCUGACGAAUGUGACGGUAGGGGCUAAAGAAGCGCCGGCUAACUACGUGCCAGCAGCCGCGGUAAUACGUAGGGCGCGAGCGUUGUCCGGAUUUACUGGGCGUAAAGGGCUCGUAGGCGGUUUGUCGCGUCGGUCGUGGAAAUGUCUGGCUUAACUGGGCACGUGCGGCUGAUACGGGCAGACUCGAGGGCGGUAGGGGCAAGCGGAAUUCCUGGUGUAGCGGUGAAAUGCGCAGAUAUCAGGAGGAACACCGAUGGCGAAGGCAGCUUGCUGGGCCGUUCCUGACGCUGAGGAGCGAAAGCGUGGGUAGCGAACAGGAUUAGAUACCCUGGUAGUCCAUGCUGUAAACGUUGGGCGCUAGGUGUGGGGACCAUUCUUGGUGUCCGUGCCGUAGCUAACGCAUUAAGCGCCCCGCCUGGGGAGUACGG